RNAcentral lists this long non-coding RNA (290 nucleotides) under Panax ginseng (ginseng). Its description in RNAcentral is "long non-coding RNA (PGIN_LNC019262)". Lineage: Eukaryota; Viridiplantae; Streptophyta; Magnoliopsida; Apiales; Araliaceae. The record is from RNAcentral.
ACAAUUUUAUCAUUUUAUUUCUUUUCUUAAUAUACGUAAAAAAUCUACCAUAACUUUUAUCGUGGACGGAGGGAGUAUUAAAUAAGAGUAGUAUUUCAACUAGUGCAUGGCAUGCACCAUACAAGAAAAGAUACAAUAGCUAGAGUUUAAUGAGUAAACUACAUUCCGAACCAUAGAGUCCGGAAGGGAUACUCUUUAGUUUGUACCCGAUAAGGAUAAUAAUAACUAAUAGAGGGGACUUUAAGAGCAAAUAUAUAUAUAUAUAUAUAUAUAUAUAUAUAUAUAUAUNN